This is a long non-coding RNA of Balaenoptera acutorostrata (minke whale), 1325 nucleotides long. RefSeq lists it as uncharacterized. The record is from RefSeq and is a predicted model, not a curated record. The transcript has 3 exons. NCBI's taxonomy places the organism in Eukaryota, Metazoa, Chordata, Mammalia, Artiodactyla, Balaenopteridae.
CGAUGGCCGCGGAGGGGGCAGGCUGGGGCCUGGCCCACGGAGGCCGAUGGAAGGCGAUGGCCGAAGAGCCAUGCCCCUUGUCGAGGGCAUGCUGUGGGUCUCGCGCCUGUCUGUCUCGCCGCCGCCGCGGCCGCCGUCACCACCCUGAGAGCCCAUCUGAAGUUAGACUGGCUACGUUUCAAGGGCUCAGCAGCCACAACUGAUAGCGGCUACCGCAUCGGACCAUGCAGAGCUAGAUGGGGAGGCAGGAAAGAAAUCAAGUGGAUUCCACACCAAGUGGUGAAAAGUGCUUGUGGGAUCCUAGUUCCCCAACCAGGGAACGAAUUCCGGCCCUUGGCAGUAAAAGCACUGAGUGCCGAGUCCUAACCACCGGACUUCCAAGGAAGUCCCCAGGUUAUCCUUGUUAUCUCUCUAAGCACAUGCUCUGAGGGUCCGUGAGAUCAGGAGACAGAAAGAUGACUCAGCUUGGGUUCCUGCUCUUGAGCACAUCACUGCUGCAAGGGAGAAGAGGACAUGUAGACACAUAAACCCAGUUAGUGUGACGAGGGCCAGGCACAGAGCACCACCUCUCAUGAGGGCAGAGUCUGGGCCAGAGGACAGCAGGAGCAAGGGUCUACCAGCCAGAGGAUGUGGGAAGUGGGGCUUCCAGAUAGAGGGACCAGCCAGAGAAGAGGCACAGCUUUUGUUCCCGAGCGUGGUUCGGGAGCAGGGAGCGGUGGGACACGCCAAGUGCAGGUUAUGAGGAAGGAGGACGGUGAGAUGGGACUGGAGAGGUGUCUGUCUCCAGCUGCAAAGGGCCCUAGAGAGUCAGGCAUGGAAGGUGGGAUUUUAUCCAUCAGACCAGGAGCCGGCAGACUACAGCCCGAUUCCACCCACGCCUUUUUUUUUGUACAGCCUGUGAGCUACAAACGAUUUUUACAUUUUUUUUAAUUAUUACUUUUUUAAUAAAUUUGUUUAUUUAUUUAUUUUUGGCUGUGUUGGGUCUUUGUUGCCGCACCCAGGCUUUCUCUAGAUGCGGAGACCAGGGGCUACUCUUUGUUGUGGUGGGCGUGUUUCUCAUUGCGGUGGCUUCUCUUGUUGCAGAGCAUGGGCUCUAGGCGUGCGGGCUUCAGUAGUUGUGGCUCGCAGGCUCUAGACCACAGGCUCAGUAGUUGUGGUGCACGGGCUUAGUUGCUCUGCAGCAUGUGGGAUCUUCCCUGACCAGGGAUCAGACCCGUGUCCCCUGCAUUGGCAGGCAGAUUCUUAACCACUGUGCCACCCGGGAAGUCCCUACAUUUUUAAAUGGCUGGAAAAAACCAAAAGAAGAAUAACAUUUUGUGACAUGG